Molecule: long non-coding RNA, 1821 nt
Organism: Leptinotarsa decemlineata (Colorado potato beetle)
Lineage: Eukaryota; Metazoa; Arthropoda; Insecta; Coleoptera; Chrysomelidae
Source: RefSeq, a predicted model, not a curated record
UUUAUUGUAAAUGCAUCUGGUACAUUAACAUUAUAACAGGUAAAUGAUUUUUGUAUUGUAUUAAGUAGUCAAUAGGUGUUCCAAGCGAUUAUGUGCUGAAACACAACAGGCAGUGCUAUACGGUACGUAUAAAUGUAUAUAUGUUUAUUUGAAUUUAUUUUCUCGUUAUAUAUGAGUCAUGAAGAUCACUGGUAGCAAAAUUUUGUCAACCUACAUGCGUACGAUAGACCUUUUUUUCUUUCAUUUUCAAGGAUUUUCAGUGCUAUGGUCAUUAAACCUCAUGUUUGUGCAUAACGUUUUGAUAAUAUUUUGAGUCACACGAAAAGGAUUAUGGUUAUUCACGGUAUCGUCAUGAAAGAGAAGAAAAUUUUGCUUUCUACUUCUCCAUCUUUAUACAAGAUAUGUCGUAAACUUCUGGAAAAAGGAAUUGAGUUCAAAAUAAACUCUUUACAAAAAUGUGUAGAUUGGACACAUAAAUUUAUGUCAGAUACAAACUGGAGGAAAAAUCCCAUUCGAAACAACUUUUUAAUAUAUCGACAAUUAAUAACAUUAAAACCAAUUUUUCCCAUUCAAUUAGUAAGUCGUUCAAAAUAAAAUGAAAACUAAAUGUUUCAUAUGUAAACCAGAUAUAAAAAUGGACGAUUAGUCAUAUUCGUCUUGAGACAACAUGCAUUUUCUUUAUCCAUAAAAUGUUAGGAGUACAACUCGACUGGAAAAAAUUGCCAUAUGUUGUUACGGUUUCAAAAUCACUACCUCAAUUUUAAGUAAACCCCCAGUAGAUAUAAUGGAGAUAGGGAAAGUCUAUAAAAUUCCACAUAGUUCAUAGUUAACUUAAGAUACAACAAAAAUAAUUUAUUUCGUAUUACGAUUUAUUAUGACCCUGUAUAAGUCAGGAAUAUGAAACGAGUCUUCGUAUCUUCUUCAGAAAGAAAACGUCUCUUCCUUCAUUUUUUGGUUUUGGACCAGACACGGGAAGAACAUCGCAAUUUUGCGGAUUUUAAAGAAGGAUUUAUGUAGGAAUUACUCGAAACUUUCAAAUUGAAGUUUACCUUGUCGAAGAACUCGGACAUUUCAAAAGGCCACACUCCAUCUCAGGUAUGAACAAACAUUUUGUGUUUUAUUGAUACGACCUUCCUGCUUGCAAAAAAUUAUGUUCAGACAAGUAUGAAUUUUUAGGCCUUCAUUAUCCAUUUGCCUGUUCGUUGCUAACUGAUAACGCCCUUAAAAUCUCCCCAACUUUGAGAAAAGCGGUUGGCGAAUCUCCACUUCUUGGACACCUAGAUGACUCACCACUGUUAGUAGCGACAUAAGAGCGGAUGAUCGUAAGCCUCAUGUCUCAAAGAAGGUAAUAUUGUUUUUUUUUAUCGUUCAUUUCGGUCAGAACGGGACGCAUUAGCAUCAAAGGAAUAGCACUACCAAAACUGUCAGCGCUACUGCGAAACCCACUUCAUCUAGCUAUAAAGUACCUACUUUUACUUAGUUUCGAUUAUAUGUAUUAGUUUAGUGUAUUGUGGUGAAAUUUUGAAACCUUUGCUACCUUUAAACAACUGUAAACUGAUGGUAUGCAUACUAGAGGUUAGAUAAUUCAUCAGUUGAAUUAGACAACGAGGAAAUCAUUGUGACAAAAUCCUUCAUUUUAAUAUCAUUUAUUUUUCCUGGUGAAUGAAUCAAAUUUUGUAGAUUGGUCACGGAAGCUAGAACUGACAAUCUUCGUUACAAUUUUUCUUUACCUUCUAUCAUUGUUAAAUAAACUGUUUUUCUUUAUAUUUGACCGACGCUCUCUUUCCCAUAACUUUCAUCAAUAAAAGAUUCGCAAAUUAA